CCUACGGGUGGCAGCAGUGAGGAAUAUUGGUCAAUGGACGCAAGUCUGAACCAGCCAAGCCGCGUGCAGGAAGACGGCUCUAUGAGUUGUAAACUUCUUUUAUACGAGGGUAAACGCAUAUACGCGUAUCGUUUUGUAAGUACCAUAUGAAUAAGGAUCGGCUAACUCCGUGCCAGCAGCCGCGGUAAUACGGAGGAUUCAAGCGUUAUCCGGAUUUAUUGGGUUUAAAGGGAGCGUAGGCGGUCUGUGAAGUUAGAGGUGAAAGUCCGAGGCUCAACCUCGGAAUUGCAGCUGAUACUGGUAGGCUAGAGAGUAGUAGAGGUGGGCGGAAUGUGUGGUGGAGCGGUGAAAUGCUUAGAGAUCAGGCAGAACACCGAUUGCGAAGGCAGCUUACGGAGCUACUUCUGACGUUGAGGCACGAAAGCGUGGGGAGCAAACAGGAUUAGAUACCCUGGUAGUC
Molecule: ribosomal RNA, 460 nt
Filed under: uncultured bacterium
Lineage: Bacteria
Description: partial 16S ribosomal RNA
Rfam family: Bacterial small subunit ribosomal RNA
Source: RNAcentral